RNA transcript from Drosophila pseudoobscura, 1701 nucleotides. It is a transcript of the gene named Phosphatidylinositol glycan anchor biosynthesis class K, with no coding region annotated. The transcript has 7 exons. Lineage: Eukaryota; Metazoa; Arthropoda; Insecta; Diptera; Drosophilidae. The record is from RefSeq and is a predicted model, not a curated record.
UUUUCGAAGCAGUUUUUUGGGAUUUCUCGCAGAUGCGUUUUCACCUAAUUCGUUUAAAUCAUUAAUGAAAUGAAUCUUAAACUGGUGUCUAUUGUUUAUAUAUUCUGCAUCUGCGGUAUUAGCUGCACUGCAAGCAAUGAAGACACUUCCGUCCUGCCAGAAGGCUUUGUGGAUGCCACACAGAGAUCGACGCACACUAAUAACUGGGCAGUGCUGGUGGAUGCCUCCCGGUUCUGGUUCAAUUAUCGGCAUGUAGCCAACGUCCUGUCCAUCUAUCGGUCUGUGAAGCGCCUCGGCAUUCCCGACUCGCAGAUCAUCCUAAUGAUAGCAGACGAUAUGGCCUGCAACGCCCGCAAUCCGCGUCCCGGCCAGGUCUAUAACAACGCCAACCAGCAUAUCAACGUCUACGGCGACGACGUGGAGGUGGACUAUCGCGGCUACGAGGUGACCGUGGAGAACUUUGUCCGCCUCCUCACUGGGCGCACCCAGAACGGUACGGCGCGCUCUAAGAAGCUGCUCUCCGAUGCCGGCAGCAAUGUUCUCAUCUACCUCACGGGUCAUGGCGGCGAUGGUUUCCUGAAGUUCCAGGACUCGGAGGAGAUAACCAGCCAGGAGUUGGCCGACGGCAUCCAGCAGAUGUGGGAGAAGAAACGCUACAAUGAGCUCUUCUUCAUGGUGGACACUUGCCAGGCGGCCUCGUUGUACGAGAAGUUCAGUUCGCCCAAUGUCCUGGCUGUGGCCAGCAGCCUGGUGGGGCAGGAUUCGCUCUCGCAUCACGUGGAUCCUUCGAUUGGUGUGUACAUGAUCGACCGCUAUACCUACUAUGCCCUGGAGUUCCUGGAGAAGGUACAGCCGUUCAGCACCCGCACCAUUGGCGAUUUCCUGCAAGUGUGCCCCAAGCGUGUCUGCAUCUCAACUGUUGGCGUGCGCAAGGACCUCUACCGCCGCGAUCCCCAUAAAGUGCCCAUAACGGACUUCUUUGGCGCCAUCCGGCCCACACGCGUCUCCACGGACCGCAUCAAUGUGACGCUGGCCAACGAGAGUGAUUUUAUUGCCGAUCCGGACGAGAUUUCUGCGAACAAGAGGCCGUUCAAGAUCAUAAUGGAGCCCCAGUUUCCGUCCGAAUUUUUCAAAUAAAGUGAGUGGUGGGCGAAUCGGGAGACCAGCAAGCAGAUCCAACAGAUUCGACAGAUCCCAACAGGCAGAUCCAUCAUUCAUGUGAUAAUAUUAAUUUUAUUCAUUCUUUACCUCCGCCAUUGUCGUCUAUACUGUUACACUCUACAAAAAAUGUUAAUCGCCUGCCCCGCCCGACUAUCUCGCCAGAUCCCUCCUAUAUGUAUUGCCAUAUCGUAUGCGGUAGCUCUCUUUCAGGUGCCUUCCAAUGAAAUAAACCAAACCAAAAACAGCACUAUGGCUUGGACUGCAUCUGCAUCUGCAUGAGAGUGCACUGGAUCAACUACUCACGACUGACUCACUCACUCCCAUCUGGCCCAGCAAUUUCUUGACAUAUUUCGGUGUAUACUUUUCAGGGCGGUCCAGUGCUGGAUCGAGUUGCGUCUCUGAGGAGGAACUGCCAUGGGAAGCAGAUAUCUGUGGAUAACAGAUCUAAGAAUAGUGCAGCAUUAUUUUUUGUAAGAUCUCCCCUUGUAUGUACAUAUGACGAGCAUCGGCAUUCCCCAAAUAAACGGAAAGACAAACAUA